RNAcentral lists this long non-coding RNA (1131 nucleotides) under Callithrix jacchus (white-tufted-ear marmoset). RNAcentral's name for it is "lncRNA (ENSCJAG00000069842.1)". The record is from RNAcentral. Lineage: Eukaryota; Metazoa; Chordata; Mammalia; Primates; Cebidae.
ACUUCCUUAUCAUAUUAAAAUCUCUGCCCAGUAGGGAGAGAUGCCCUUUGCUAGGCACAUAUAGUGAGUACCCAGUGCAAAAGAAAGAACAAGACUGCACACAUUCCAGUUUUCUCUGGAAAGCUCCACCUCUUUCCAGGAAUUCCCACCCUUAAUCUCUACCUACCUGCUCUGAGAGACCUUAAAAAUGUCCUUUCUCCAUACCUCUGGGGAGAACGUGAAUGGGACACUCUCCUUCUCUACUCCUUGAACAACAAAUAAAGUUUCUGCUCUGCUUAACAGAACCUUGUCGCUUUCUAUUGGCUCAAUGGCAAGCGGCAGUAAAGGACCCAUUGAGGCAGGAUCUCACUCUGUUAACCAAGCUGAAUGCAGUGGUGCAAACAGGGUUCUUUGCACCAUGAACUACACGGGCUCAAGCAAUUCCUCCACCUCCGCCUCUCUAAUAGUUGGAACAACAGGCACGUGCCACCAUGCCAGGCUAUUUUUUUAUUUUUUUAUUUAUUGUAGAGAUAGGUCUUACCUGUUGAGCAGGCCUAUCUCCAGUUCCUGGGCUCAAGUGAUCCUCCUGCCUUGGCCUCUCAGAAUGCUAGGAUUAGAGGCGUAAGUCACUGUGCCUGGCUGUUUGUAAAAUUUAUUUCAAUAUAUGUUGUUUCUAUAGCAUCAUUUGUUCAAAUACAUAAAUGGAGUAAUCUUUUCUUUCAGCCUAUCUUGUAGCCUGGGUGCCAGAGCAAGACUCCAUCCAAAAAAAAAAACUAGAAAGAAAAUUUAAUAUAUUUGAAGAGAUUAUCUGCAUUUUUAUGUUUAUCACAGUACUAUUCACAAUAGCCAAGAUAUAUGGAAUCAACUUAAGUGUCCACCAGUGGAUGAAUGAAUAAAGAAAAUGUGUGUGUAUGUGUAUACAUAUAUAUGCAUAUGUAUAUGCAUAUACAUAUAUAUGCAUACGUGUACACACACACACAAUGGAAUAUUAUUCAACCGUUAAAAAGAAUGAAAUCCUGUCAUUUGCAGCAACAUGGAUGGAACAGGAAGUCAUUAUUUUAAAUGACAUAAGCCAGGUAAAGAGAGAGAAAUGUUACAUGUUCUUUGAGAGCUAAAAAAAUGAAUCUCAUGAAAAUAGAGAGUAGAUUGGUG